AGCGAACGUUUGCGGCGGGCUUAACACAUGCAAGUCGAACGAGAAUCCCUUCGGGGAGGAAAGUGGCGCACGGGUGCGUAACACGUGGAUAACCAACCCAUUGGUUUGGGACAACACCGGGAAACUGGUGCUAAUACCAGAUGUGUCGCAGCUGUCUUCAGGCGGUUGCGAGAAAGGCCCGCAAGGGUCGCCAACGGGACGGGUCCGCGUCCCAUCAGCUAGUUGGUGAGGUAAUGGGCUCACCAAGGCAAAGACGGGUAGCUGGUCUGAGAGGAUGAUCAGCCACACUGGAACUGAGACACGGUCCAGACU
Molecule: ribosomal RNA, 312 nt
Filed under: uncultured bacterium
Lineage: Bacteria
Description: bacterial SSU rRNA
Rfam family: Bacterial small subunit ribosomal RNA
Source: RNAcentral